Non-coding RNA from Theobroma cacao (cacao), 480 nucleotides. The record is from RefSeq and is a predicted model, not a curated record. NCBI's taxonomy places the organism in Eukaryota, Viridiplantae, Streptophyta, Magnoliopsida, Malvales, Malvaceae.
UAUCCCUUUUAGCCUUUCUGCCUUAUGGUUUCUGCCGUCCCCCCGUGAGCCUUCCAUCUCCAGCCCAUCUUCAGGCGAAUCUGUCCCUUGUGAGCCGUCCAUCUCCACUCUUCGCUUUCUCUUCUCCAGUCCAUCUUCGAAGGCUCUCUCUCAAACUCUCACACAUACGCACCACAGUGAUCGUCGAUUUCAAAGGCUCUCUCUCUCAGAUUUCCAUCUCAAUCGGAAAACAAGACUCUAGCCAUCAAGUUUUGACUCUUUCACAAGUUGAAGAUUUCAAUGGCAAGUGAAAGCGAUAAUCCAGCUCCAGCUUUUACUCCUAGUGAUGCUGCUACGCCAUCUAUAAGAGCACGUUUGGUUCGCAUAAUAGACAAGAAUGAAAUAGAUUAAUUAUUCUAUAAAAAUAAAAUAAAAUAUGAAUAAUUAUUAUGUAAUUUGAUAUAAUAAAUGGAAUAAGACAGAAAUUGCUAUUGUGACUUA